AACCAACGCUGGCGGCGUGCCUAACACAUGCAAGUCGAGCGAGAAAGUGGAGCAAUCCAUGAGUAAAGCGGCGACCGGGUGAGUAACACGUGACUAACCUACCUUCGAGUGGGGGAUAACUCCGGGAAACCGGGGCUAAUACCGCAUAACAUCGAAAGAUCAAAGCAGCAAUGCGCUUGAAGAGGGGGUCGCGGCUGAUUAGCUAGUUGGCGGGGUAAUGGCCCACCAAGGCGAAGAUCGGUAUCCGGCCUGAGAGGGCGCACGGACACACUGGAACUGAAACACGGUCCAGACUCCUACGGGAGGCAGCAGUGGGGAACUUUGCGCAAUGGGGGAAACCCUGACGCAGCAACGCCGCGUGGAGGAUGAAGCCCCUUGGGCGUAAACUCCUUUCGACCAAGACGAUAAUGACGGUACUGGUGGAAGAAGCACCGGCUAACU
This 441-nucleotide ribosomal RNA is filed under the name uncultured bacterium. RNAcentral's name for it is "bacterial SSU rRNA". It matches the Rfam family "Bacterial small subunit ribosomal RNA", at positions 32 to 502 of the family's 1533-position model. The record is from RNAcentral.